Molecule: long non-coding RNA, 1605 nt
Organism: Brassica rapa (field mustard)
Lineage: Eukaryota; Viridiplantae; Streptophyta; Magnoliopsida; Brassicales; Brassicaceae
Source: RefSeq, a predicted model, not a curated record
AAUUAGAAGAGGCGGGAAACAAUCUUCUUCUUCUUCUUCUCCGAGUGAGUGCGAUUCUUCAAGAAUCCAUCACUUCAACAAGUGACCAUGGAUGAUCCUGCAAGUCCUUCUUCUUCAGAUGAUGAUACUACUGCCCCUGGGGUAUUCUGAUUAGAAAAAAUGCCAAAGAAGUCUCUGAGCGAUGUAAUGUCCACCUACUCGACCACAUUAACUAUCCUAAAUUGUUCAUCAGUCAGCUCUCUUUUUGAUUCGUUCCUUGCACGUGCUAAAAGGCGAAAAUGUUGAACUGCUAUGUAGAGCUUUAUACCUUGUGGUCCGGUUCAAUGUAAGAUGUAAAGGACUGGUUUUUUAAUAGUUUUUGGCUUUGAGAACAAAAAUAAAGAGUACAUGUAUAUGAGAUUUCAUUUACUAUUGACGUUGUCACUUUCUGGUUAGUUUUUGAUGUUAAGUACGUUUCUGGAUGUUAAUAGAUGUUUUUUGCAAGUCAUACUGAGAAUUGUUAAUACAUGAUUGUGUUUUUAUUUGAUUACAUUUGAUUCAAGUUGUUAAUACUGAGAAUUUUUAAUACAUUAUUUUUUCAUAAAAGAAAUAAUUUAAUUUAAAUAAACAAAGAAUAUUAUAACUAAUAUAUUUCUAUUUGAAAAUAACAUUGUGACUUUGUUAAAAAAAUCAACAAACUGAUAAGAAAAUAUUUUUAAAAUUGAAUAAUGAAAAAUGAACAUUUGUUUAAUUUAUUUUUCAUCAAAAUUAUAGAAGAAAAUAUUACUUCAUAAAUGUCUCCAAUAUGAAAAAAAAUAGAUCCAUGUGUCAAUAAUUUAACCAAAAUCAAUUUACUUAAUACAAAAUCUGAAAACAUUGACUUUGUGGUGUAGUUCAAUUCAUAAAGAUAUCUUUCUUGUUUUUCACUAUAUGUGGGGUGAGAGACCAAACUUUCUCAUCAAGUUUUAAUGACUUUGUCAUCAAGUUUUGAUUGCUUUCUCAUCAAGUUUUACAUUACUUCCUUAUAAAAGUUUUUUUUCUACUUGACAAGUGUCUUUAAUAUCAACCGUCCAUCAAAGUUAAUUAGUUAACAAUAGCAAUUGUAAUAAAAACUAGAUUUGGACCCGCACAACUGUGCGGGUAUUAAUUUUCAUGUUUAUAUAUAUAUAUAUAUUACAUAAUUAGAAUAUAUUUUUAAAGUUACUUAUAUAUUUAAAUGUUUAUAUAUAACUAUCUUAAAUAUAACAAUUUGAUAGUUUUCAUGCUGUAAGUUAAUUGAUUAUUUCAAAUCAUCACAUAUAUUUGGUAUUUUUUAUUAUAUAUAUUUUAAAAUUAUUUUUUAUUCAAUUAUUAUGAUCCUAAUCCGUAAUUCAAAGCGCUAGAUUUCUUUUAUCAGUAUUUUUUUAUGUUUAUUCAUUUAAGAUAAUAACUAUAUAUAUAUAAAAGUUUAAGAUAAGUUAAUUUUAUACAUGAAUUAUCCAAUUUACUAAUGUUAACCCGUUCUACCAACAUAUUAUAUUUCUAGCAUAAAUUUUUAAUGUUUGUCAAAAUAAAAUAUAUUAAUUUAUCAAUUUAAAAUAAUUUUAUCAUAUUUAGUUAAAUACAAUUUUUUAUUUUAAAAUGAUA